GAUGAAGAACGUAGCGAAAUGCGAUAAGUAAUGCGAAUUGCAGAAUUCAGUGAGUCAUCGAAUCUUUGAACGCACAUUGCGCCCUGUGGUAUUCCGCAGGGCAUGCCUGUUCGAGCGUCAUUUCAACCCUCAAGCUCUGCUUGGUGUUGGGCCCUGCCCGCUGCGGCCGGCCCUAAAGACAGUGGCGGUGCCGCCUGGCCCUGAGCGUAGUACAUCUCUCGCUCCAGUGCCCGGUGGUAGCCUGCCAGAACCCCAACUCUCGUGGUUGACCUCGGAUCAGGUAGGGAUACCCGCUGAACUUAAGCAUAUCAAUGAGCGGAGGA
This 323-nucleotide unclassified non-coding RNA is filed under the name soil metagenome. Its description in RNAcentral is "partial contains 5.8S ribosomal RNA, internal transcribed spacer 2, and large subunit ribosomal RNA". The stretch from base 1 to 120 matches the Rfam family "5.8S ribosomal RNA", at positions 35 to 154 of the family's 154-position model. The record is from RNAcentral.